Molecule: ribosomal RNA, 256 nt
Filed under: uncultured bacterium
Lineage: Bacteria
Description: partial 16S ribosomal RNA
Rfam family: Bacterial small subunit ribosomal RNA
Source: RNAcentral
UACGUAGGGGGCAAGCGUUGUCCGGAUUUAUUGGGCGUAAAGAGCGUGUAGGCGGCUUGGCAAGUCCGCUGUGAAAACUCGAGGCUCAACCUCGAGACGUCGGUGGAAACUGCCUCGCUAGAGUCCGGAAGAGGAGAGUGGGAAUUCCUGGUGUAGCGGUGGAAAUGCGCAGAUAUCAGGAAGAACACCCGUGGCUAAGGCGGCUCUCUAGUACGGUACUGACGCUGAGACGCGAAAGCGUGGGGGAGCGAACAGG